This 429-nucleotide ribosomal RNA is filed under the name bacterium. Its description in RNAcentral is "partial 16S ribosomal RNA". It matches the Rfam family "Bacterial small subunit ribosomal RNA", at positions 355 to 776 of the family's 1533-position model. The record is from RNAcentral.
UGGGGAAUCUUCCGCAAUGGACGAAAGUCUGACGGAGCAACGCCGCGUGAGUGAUGACGGCCUUCGGGUUGUAAAGCUCUGUUAAUCGGGACGAAUGGUUCUUGUGCAAAUAGUGCGAGGAUUUGACGGUACCGGAAUAGAAAGCCACGGCUAACUACGUGCCAGCAGCCGCGGUAAUACGUAGGUGGCAAGCGUUGUCCGGAAUUAUUGGGCGUAAAGCGCGCGCAGGCGGAUUGGUCAGUCUGUCUUAAAAGUUCGGGGCUUAACCCCGUGAUGGGAUAGAAACUGCCAAUCUAGAGUAUCGGAGAGGAAAGUGGAAUUCCUAGUGUAGCGGAGAAAUGCGUAGAUAUUAGGAAGAACACCAGUGGCGAAGGCGACUUUCUGGACGAAAACUGACGCUGAGGCGCGAAAGCCAGGGGAGCGAACGGG